UCCAAAGCCUUGCCGGGGUGAGGGUCGCU
RNAcentral lists this non-coding RNA (29 nucleotides) under Rattus norvegicus (Norway rat). The record is from RNAcentral. Lineage: Eukaryota; Metazoa; Chordata; Mammalia; Rodentia; Muridae.